This 435-nucleotide ribosomal RNA is filed under the name uncultured bacterium. RNAcentral's name for it is "partial 16S ribosomal RNA". It matches the Rfam family "Bacterial small subunit ribosomal RNA", at positions 29 to 507 of the family's 1533-position model. The record is from RNAcentral.
AACGAACGCUGGCGGCAGGCUUAACACAUGCAAGUCGAACGCAUGCCUUCGGGCAUGAGUGGCAGACGGGUGAGUAACGCGGGGGAACCUACCCCUUGGUACGGGAUAGCUCCGGGAAACUGGAGAUAAUACCGUAUGUGUCCUGAGGGACAAAGAUUCAUCGCCAAGGGAUGGGCCCGCGUCGGUUUAGCUGGUUGGUGGGGUAACGGCCUACCAAGGCGACGAUCCGUAGCUGGUCUAAGAGGAUGAUCAGCCACAUUGGGACUGAGACACGGCCCAAACUCCUACGGGAGGCAGCAGUGGGGAAUAUUGGACAAUGGGCGCAAGCCUGAUCCAGCCAUGCCGCGUGAGUGAUGAAGGCCCUAGGGUUGUAAAGCUCUUUCACCGGUGACGAUAAUGACGGUAACCGGAGAAGAAGCCCCGGCUAACUUCGUG